AUGUUGACUUAAGCAGCACAUACAUUGAAAUUGUAAUGGUACAGAGAUUAACGUGGCCAUGCACAAGGAUGACAUGCAAAUUCCUGAAGCAUUACAUAUUUUU
Molecule: small nuclear RNA, 103 nt
Filed under: Castor canadensis (American beaver)
Lineage: Eukaryota; Metazoa; Chordata; Mammalia; Rodentia; Castoridae
Source: RNAcentral